This 404-nucleotide ribosomal RNA is filed under the name uncultured prokaryote. RNAcentral's name for it is "bacterial SSU rRNA". It matches the Rfam family "Bacterial small subunit ribosomal RNA", at positions 355 to 776 of the family's 1533-position model. RNAcentral also lists the same sequence under 1 other name. The record is from RNAcentral.
UGGGGAAUAUUGCACAAUGGGCGCAAGCCUGAUGCAGCGAUGCCGCGUGAGGGAAGAAGGUUUUAGGAUUGUAAACCUCUGUCUUUGGGGACGAUAAUGACGGUACCCAAGGAGGAAGCUCCGGCUAACUACGUGCCAGCAGCCGCGGUAAUACGUAGGGAGCGAGCGUUGUCCGGAAUUACUGGGUGUAAAGGGAGCGUAGGCGGGAUUGCAAGUCAGAUGUGAAAACUAUGGGCUCAACCCAUAACUUGCAUUUGAAACUGUAGUUCUUGAGUGAAGUAGAGGUAAGCGGAAUUCCUAGUGUAGCGGUGAAAUGCGUAGAUAUUAGGAGGAACACCAGUUGCGAAGGCGGCUCUCUGGACUGUAACUGACACUGAGGCACGAAAGCGUGGGGAGCAAACAGG